CCUGGAGAAAGACUGCGUCCUGACUGUGCGCCUGCGCAGUGCUGUCGGGUCCGGGGAAAUUCGGCUUCCGGAGGAAGUUCAAAGGUUGGAUCUUUGGUUUUUCAAAUGUUCUUCAAACCAUUAUACUGGUAUUACUUGAGCAGUAGGUGUAAAGCUCUACGGAAGAGAAAACUGAUCUAGAAGAGAUUUAGGCAUCAGAAACAAAUUGAAGAAUCCUCAGAAGAGAUGAUGGGGAAGCCUUGGGAUGCAGUCACCCAUAGAACAUCUCAUAGAGCAUCUCAAGAAAGAGAAGAAGGCAGGUCUAAGCAUGAAAACUUGGGGAAUACCAGCAUUUAAGGAGAGCCUGAGGAGGAAAAUGCCAUAGAGAGACUGAGAAAUUACAGCCAGAGAAAUAGGAAGAGAAUCUGAAAAGUCAGGAUUCUAGAACUAAUUAUUGUCAAUGGUGAAUGCUGUCGGGUACGGUCUGGGCCAGGGGUGGGGGAGUAGGAUAGAAACCAAACAUGGCAGAAAGAGUUUCAGGGAUGUAGAGAAUGCAGAAGUUAGAUUGCAGGGGAGUGAAUGGAAGUGAGGAAGCAAAGUAAUUGGCAGCUACUCUUUACUAAGUUGAGUUGCAGAGAGUGGAUUUUGAAGGACCUGCUCUGCUCUGUGUAGGUUGACAGGCCCUUGACAGAAGCUUUGGUGCUUUUGAAACAAUUGGCUGUUGAAGCAAAGGUACAAGGAGAAGGACAGCCAGCCAAGUCAGCAGUUACUCACUCCACUCCCUCCUGGCAACCGAGAAAAGAGAAGGCUACAUGGGCCCCACCUUUGUGAUGGAACGUGUGUGAGUGUCUCAUUCCAGGGAGGCCUCCUGCUGCUCACUCUUCCACUUAUGUGGUAGGGGGAUCACCCCCCCAUGGUAGGCAAGGUCAGGGGCUGCUGAAAUCCUAUCUGAUUCUACCAGCCAUUUACACUGGAGUAAGGAGAACUUUGUUCUGGGUUUCACCAGAGCACCAGAUGGGCUAGCAGCUUCAUUGCAUACAGCCCUUCUUGGUCCGAGAAGCUUGGCCUUAGCUAAUCUCAUUUCUCCUCAGAAGGCAAAUAUGGGGAAGUCUUUUGCUCUACACAGAUGUGUGCAGUAAAGAAGUACUCAAUUAGAACUUUGCAUCAGAAUCCCAUCAUAUCUGGAAAGAUAUUUUGUGUGCUGAGUAAGUGGUAUAGCUUAAACAGUUAAGCACAUGAAUGCUGGAUUUGCAUCCUAGAGCCACUGCUUAAGUAAUCUUGGGUAAGUUACUUAACCUUUCUGUACUUUGAGUUUUUAUCAUAAAGAUUAAAUGAGA
Molecule: long non-coding RNA, 1316 nt
Organism: Pteropus alecto (black flying fox)
Lineage: Eukaryota; Metazoa; Chordata; Mammalia; Chiroptera; Pteropodidae
Exons: 2
Source: RefSeq, a predicted model, not a curated record